UCAGUUCUUAUGGAUUGUGCUGAUGAUUGAACAUUUUAUCAAUAGUAGGGCUGAAGAAACAAUAUAAAAACGAAAGUAUUAUAAGAGGAAUAUAAAUGUUACUGUUUAUAUUAUUAUAAUACUGCAGUGAUCUUGUGCAGGGAUUGACUAAAGGAAAUGCUGAGAGCGGAUAUCAAGGAUGAGAGAGGGAGAAAGGAUAUAAGAUGAUCAUCAUCAGGUUCAUCAUCAUCUGAAAAUAAAAAUAAAGUAGAAAAAGUAAUAGUUAUCAUCCACUGUAAAUGAUUUCUUUUUACCUCUUCUCUUCAAUACUAAGUGUCUUUUUACAAUAAAAUAAGAUACAAAAAGCAAAGGGUCAAGAAAAAUUGGUUUAUUUCAUUUAGCCGGAAAUAAAAUUAUCUCAUGAAAUCUUCCGAUCUUUAUUUUUUUUCUCUCUUACUCGUCUUCGUUUUCUCAUCUCUUUCCAUUCUUGAUUUAGCACUACGAUGAUGAUAACAUAUCAUUUUCUGAUUCUGUUAUUAUGUUCACUUUUUUUACCACGAAAAAUAUUAGUUUCCUUUAUCAUCUGAGCCAUUUUAUUGUUAAUGUUGUUUACAUACUGCAAAAAAAAGAAACGAAACUUUAUUCAAUAACAUAAUAUAUUUACGAAGAUAUGAGAAUGGAUUGAAUUCUGGAAACUUGAGAUACAGAAGUAGAUUUCAUGGAAACAUCAGGGUGAUAUUAUCAUCAUUAUUAUUAUUCUUUUGAAUGUUUUUCGAUAUUGAGAGAGAAAAUUGUAAGAAAGAUUAAGAUAAGAAUUAUUAUUAGAAUAAAAGAAUUGAAAUUGUAUGAAAAGAUUUAAAGAAAAGAUGAGAGAAAUGUUAUGGAUUUGAUUCAGUUGAUUCGAAUCACUUGAAAUUAUGUUGGAGUAAAAGUUUAUUAAAAAAAAUGAAUUCUAAGGUGAACCAAUUUAAAGUAAUAUGAAGAUAAAGAAAAGUGAGAUCAAUGAAGAUGAAAUUACUUAUUUUCUAUUCCAAGUUUAUUUUAUCUAAUGUAUUAUUCAAUUGGAAAAACAUUUUAUUCGGAUAUGAUUAUUAUUAUUAUUUCUGCUCAUCAACUAUCUGAAAGAUUAGAGUUAUGAUCAUGUCGCAUUCAUUUUUCUCUGGGAGAAAGUUAUGUUUGUGAGUUGAUAGAAUUUUAAAAAGUUCCAAUUGAUUAUCAAAGAAUUGCAAUUCAAUAUGAUCCAUAUUUCAACUGUCACAAAAAGUUGAGUCACGAAGAAAUAGAUUAUUUCUUAUUCUGGAGCAAUUUUUCAUCUUGAACUUUCAAUUUCUUCACCUUGAUUCUUGAAAAUCUUCUUUCCUUUAUUACCUGAAUAUCCUCUUUGGCCUCUUAACUUUUACCUUAAUCAUCAUCAUCUUAUAUUUCAAUUUGAUUUUGCUUCUCUUUCAAUUAUUUUCUGCUGAUACCAACAAGUAUUUUAUUCAUAUUGAUGAUCUAUUCAACUUUUUGCCUUCUUAUCAUUAUCUUCUCAAUGAAUUUCAGCUUCCAUAUUAGUAAUACAACGAUUUUCUAUAUGUAUAAAGUUUCCUUUUGUACUUUACCAUCGUAAAUGAAUAAAAAGGAGAAAGAGAAAAAAAAUAUUCAGUUAGAGUAAUUUCGGUGAGAAUGCUCAUGGUAUUUAUCUUAUUUUCUCGUGACAGUUUCAGUCUCAUAAGUAACACUUCGUAUCCAUUACUUUAAUGAUAACUAAUAAUUUGUGUCUUUUUUUAGGCCAUUAAACGUACGUUUCAUUCAUGUAAACAAUUUUCAUGUUCCUUUCAGCCUAAUGGUGUGAUUCACGAUUUAGUUACUUGAUAAUCAAGCGUAACAAGCACCAUUUUUACUGUUAUUCCUUGCUUAUUGAUGGAAAAGCAUCAAAAUUUUAAAACCAAUGAUAAAUAUAUUACAAUAAUAAUAGAAACCAGAUCAAGUUCAAUUUAAACUGCGCAAUUUUUCAAUUCAUUUGUCACCCUUAUUCAUGAUUCACCCUGAUCUGUAGAUGGUGGAGUGACAUCUAUGGUCUAAAAAAAUACCCAAUGAACUUUUUCUUCUGUUACUUCUGUCACAUGGAAAUUGACUUGAGCCAAAAUUCAAUAAGAUAAUUGUGACCUCACUUAUUGAUUGGCAAUAUGACAAAUUAUCUAGUCAAUAAGUAAAUGACAAAAGAUUCCAUUCCUGAUUGUAAUGAUUAUGAUGAUUGAUUUAUUUUGGAAUAUUCUUCAGAUUGAAAUAGUAAUCUCAUGUCAGAGUCUUUAGUGUAUCAAGAGGACGGAACUUGCUUGGAGAAAUAGGCUUUAAGACAGCAAAAUAAUUUAACAAUCUUAUUUUGUUGAUUAAUGAAAAUUUUUUGAAUUUACCUCAAUUAAUGUGUAAUUUAAUGACAGACCCUAAGUUGUAACCUUUGUCAAUUGCUGUUGACAAUUUAGAAAGAGUAACAAUUGCUACAAUUUCUUUAUUAUCCCUUGAAGUUUUUGUUUAGUUCUACUUUCUCGAGAAUGUUAAUAUAAUUAAUCAUUUAUUGUUUUUAAUAUCAUCAACAUCGAAAAUAUACUUGUUUUAUUUAGAUUAUUGCCUCUGAUAAUUUAGAGAAUAUUGAACAAGCAACAUUCUUAAAGGUCACCUUUCAAACGAUGCCAAGGUGAUCCAGCAUCAAAUCUCCAAUAAAAAUGACUGAGGACAAAAAAGGAUUGAAAUCAUUGGUAAAUAUGAUAACUAAAUCUAUUCAAAACAUUCACCAUGAAUUAAAUUCCACCUAUUUUAUAGUCAAUCGCGUAUCGUAAAGCUCAAAAUUCUGGAUCAAGUGGACUCUGACGAUUUUCUGUAUCGAUAAAAACUAUAACUGGAGACCGUUACCGCUUAGAAAAUAUCGAAAAGCACCUUCUUUGUGAAGACAAUAUUGGAACUGUAUUUUCAUCACGAUGAGUAUACAACGAAAGCCAAUCAUCAGCACUGCAAAUGGACGGUGAAUACCACCAAUCAGCAAGAUUUUCGUACAACUUUGGCUUGACGGGUCCAUGUAACAUGGAACAUAAUCGACACCAGAAAUAUGUAAGAGGCAAGAUCUUUGGGCGAUGAAAAAUCGUUAACAUGAAUAUAAGAAUUGGCGGGAGAUGAACGUUUAUAAUCUUCUGGAUGAGCACCCAUUGUAAUUGGUAUAAUUUUACGAUUUAAACCAUUGGAGUAAAAUUUUUCAGUUAUAUAAUCGCGACAAUUUGAAUUCUCAAAGGAAAGAUAAAACUUAUAAUCUUUAUCGAGCAUCUCGAAACAUUCAUCAGCAUUUUUCCUGGAACAUGAAAGUUUACCACACCUAAAGAAUAUAAUGAAACAGAAUAACUGGGUUCAUCAUCUUCAGGUAGAAGAGAUAAUCUUGAGAAAGUAAUCUCGUUUGGAUUAGGGAUUAAAGAACCGUUAACCAUGAACCAAGGCUUAUCUUUUGGAGACCAUGUUAAAAAAUUAAGCUCAGAUGAUGAGUAUUUA
Molecule: long non-coding RNA, 3495 nt
Organism: Panonychus citri (citrus red mite)
Lineage: Eukaryota; Metazoa; Arthropoda; Arachnida; Trombidiformes; Tetranychidae
Exons: 5
Source: RefSeq, a predicted model, not a curated record